UUAGUGAAAUCGAGUAGGACGGGACACGUGAUAUCCUGUUUGAACAUGGGGGGACCAUCCUCCAAGGCUAAAUACUCCUGACUGACCGAUAGUGAACCAGUACCGUGAGGGAAAGGCGAAAAGAACCCCUGUGAGGGGAGUGAAAUAGAACCUGAAACCGUGUACGUACAAGCAGUAGGAGCCCACUUGUUGGGUGACUGCGUACCUUUUGUAUAAUGGGUCAGCGACUUAAUUUUAGUAGCAAGGUUAACCGUUUAGGGGAGCCGUAGGGAAACCGAGUCUUAACUGGGCGAAUUAGUUGCUAGGAUUAGACCCGAAACCGAGUGAUCUAGCCAUGGGCAGGUUGAAGGUGAGGUAACACUUACUGGAGGACCGAACCGACUAAUGUUGAAAAAUUAGCGGAUGACUUGUGGCUAGGGGUGAAAGGCCAAUCAAACUCGGAGAUAGCUGGUUCUCCCCGAAAGCUAUUUAGGUAGCGCCUCGGACGAAUACUACUGGGGGUAGAGCACUGUUAAGGCUAGGGGGUCAUCCCGACUUACCAACCCUUUGCAAACUCCGAAUACCAGUAAGUAAUAUCCGGGAGACACACGGCGGGUGCUAACGUCCGUCGUGAAGAGGGAAACAACCCAGACCGCCAGCUAAGGUCCCAAAGUUAUAGCUAAGUGGGAAACGAUGUGGGAAGGCUCAGACAGCCAGGAUGUUGGCUUAGAAGCAGCCAUCAUUUAAAGAAAGCGUAAUAGCUCACUGGUCGAGUCGGCCUGCGCGGAAGAUUUAACGGGGCUAAGCUAUACACCGAAGCUGCGGCAAUGUGAAUUUAUUCACAUUGGGUAGGGGAGCGUUCUGUAAGCCGUUGAAGGUGCAUUGUAAAGUGUGCUGGAGGUAUCAGAAGUGCGAAUGCUGACAUGAGUAACGAUAAAGGGAGUGAAAAACUCCCUCGCCGGAAGAUCAAGGGUUCCUGUCCAACGUUAAUCGGGGCAGGGUAAGUCGACCCCUAAGGCGAGGCCGAAAGGCGUAGUCGAUGGGAAACGGGUUAAUAUUCCCGUACUUCUUAUAAUUGCGAUGGAGGGACGGAGAAGGCUAGGUGAGCCUGGCGACGGUUGUCCAGGUCCAAGUAUGUAGGCUGAUG
Molecule: ribosomal RNA, 1126 nt
Filed under: Photobacterium carnosum
Lineage: Bacteria; Pseudomonadati; Pseudomonadota; Gammaproteobacteria; Vibrionales; Vibrionaceae
Description: partial 23S ribosomal RNA
Rfam family: Bacterial large subunit ribosomal RNA
Source: RNAcentral